GAUGAAGAACGCAGCGAAAUGCGAUAAGUAGUGUGAAUUGCAGAAUUCAGUGAAUCAUCGAAUCUUUGAACGCACAUUGCGCCCCUUGGUAUUCCAUGGGGCAUGCCUGUUCGAGCGUCAUUUGUACCUUCAAGCUCUGCUUGGUGUUGGGUGUUUGUCUCGCCUCUGCGUGUAGACUCGCCUCAAAACAAUUGGCAGCCGGCGUAUUGAUUUCGGAGCGCAGUACAUCUCGCGCUUUGCACUCAUAACGACGACGUCCAAAAGUACAUUUUUACACUCUUGACCUCGGAUCAGGUAGGGAUACCCGCUGAACUUAAGCACAUCAAUAAGCGGAGGA
Molecule: unclassified non-coding RNA, 337 nt
Filed under: soil metagenome
Description: partial contains 5.8S ribosomal RNA, internal transcribed spacer 2, and large subunit ribosomal RNA
Rfam family: 5.8S ribosomal RNA (bases 1-120)
Source: RNAcentral